CUACUACACGUGAACCAUUUCCUUUAACAGUUUUAAUUAUAUAGUUGUCCCUAUACCCCGGCCGGUAUGAGCGUCAAGACAUUAUAACCUCAUACUUCGUCCGGUAUUAAGGUGAAGUGGGCUGUCCUCAUACCCCGUCCGGUAUGAGCGCCAAAUGACCAAGUCUCCAUACCCCGUCCAGUAUGGAACAACGUUCACAGUAGGGUUUCCUAUGAGCCCAGUUUGUCUACCAUC
This 234-nucleotide long non-coding RNA is filed under the name Carica papaya (papaya). RNAcentral's name for it is "long non-coding RNA (CPAP_LNC012510)". The record is from RNAcentral. Lineage: Eukaryota; Viridiplantae; Streptophyta; Magnoliopsida; Brassicales; Caricaceae.